This is a long non-coding RNA of Bactrocera neohumeralis, 874 nucleotides long. RefSeq lists it as uncharacterized. Lineage: Eukaryota; Metazoa; Arthropoda; Insecta; Diptera; Tephritidae. The record is from RefSeq and is a predicted model, not a curated record. The transcript has 3 exons.
CUCGAAAUUGCAAGUGGUUUUUUGUGUUGCUUGAAGUGAAUUCUGGAAAAUAUUUUUUAUGGAUUCUGGACAAAAUGAUAUAAUCUAGAAGCUGGAUGCUAUUGAGACCCAUACGGUAAAUGUGGUGUUGAUGACCUUCUCACUGCCAUACAAAAGCAAUUAAAAGGCAAAAUGUCAGAAAAGGUCGAAGUGGAAGCGUAAAGCAAAUUCCGCGUCAAAGCGGCAAAGAUGCACCACUCAAUUAGCAGAAACAGCGAAAAACGCUACUACCUUCCUCAGUUGCCGACCUUACAGCAGGCAUGGAUAAUAUAAUACGAAUCUCUCGCAUUGGCUGUCAUUUUUCUCUCAAACGCGUUCCCUGCAUUUACAAAGUGUUUAAUUUAGUGUUUUGUAUAAUUUAUCGAAAAAGCCAAAAGUAAAGAAAUGUGGGGUGUAGUAUAUAAGUAUAUACAGCAGUGGUCGGCAAGUGCCGAGUGCACGCAUACAAAAAUAUUCUUGCUUGUGUAUGUGGCAAAAAUACUCAUUGCCGCUGUCAAAUUGUAAGCCCAAAAAAUUUUGCGCGCAAAUAAUAUAUACUUUUUUGAAAAUUUCACAGAACACUUUAAAAAUAACUGAGAAGUAUUAGAUAUUACAAAAUAAAAAAUAUCAGAACUGCUUUUCGAAAAUUUUAAAAAUCAUUCCCUUGUAAGGGGUAGAAGUCUGAAAAAAUGUUAAACGUAUUCUGAAUAAUAUUGGAAAAAUGCGCAAAGCUAAUUCGAUUCACCUUGCAGUGCUAGCGCCCCGGAAGGUGACGUGAUAGGUCGCGUGGAUUAUAUAAGUAUGUACAUACAUAUGUCAUUUUCAAGCUUAAAAAUAAAACACACUAAUCCACAUA